GAUGCAAGCAAGUAGAAAAGCAUAUUUACAGUCAUCAAACUCUACGGAGAAGCCAUAGUCUUAAAAAAAAGAUUCAUGCAAGUUAGAAAAUGGAAAGAAAGAAGAACCCAAUGAUGACAUAUAGAUUUUUUUUAACCAUUUGGCCCCUUGGAGGUCUUUGGCAUGCUUGUUUGAAUCCCAACAUCAUCCCCAUCCAAAUGCUGAGGCUUGCUAUUAUUCCUUUGGACUUUCCUCUUACCCAUGUUUCCAGUAACAUCAUCAGUAAAUUUGCGCUUCAUGACCCCUGCCUCAUUAAAUGAACAUAUACCUUCUGUUAAGCUACCAACAGGAGAAGAAAAGCUAUUCACUUCCCCAUAAGCCUGCAAUUCAUCAUUCUUGACAUCACCAGCACUACAUCCACCAGAUGGAGCAUCAGGAUGUCCUUCAUUUUGUCCAGCUAACCCCUUCUCGUUACAAGAAUCUUUUCCGCGUUCCUUGCUCAUUUGGGGAGAUUUGUCAACUAUACCUUUAAGAGAUAACUUUAAGGAUUGUUUAUGUUUAUUUUUCACUGGAGGAGCAUUAUUUUCAUCCUCUGAGAAGGAUGAAAUUGAAAAUAUUUCAUCAUCAACAGGCAACCCAGCUCCUGCCCUCAAACUUGCAAUUAAAUC
Molecule: unclassified non-coding RNA, 647 nt
Filed under: Hevea brasiliensis (rubber tree)
Lineage: Eukaryota; Viridiplantae; Streptophyta; Magnoliopsida; Malpighiales; Euphorbiaceae
Source: RNAcentral